Molecule: transfer RNA, 63 nt
Filed under: Metagonimus yokogawai
Lineage: Eukaryota; Metazoa; Platyhelminthes; Trematoda; Opisthorchiida; Heterophyidae
Description: tRNA-Val
Source: RNAcentral
GGCGAAGUAGUUUAUGUAAAAUAUCUACUUUACGCGUAGGGGAAGGAUAUGUUCUUAUCGCCA